Molecule: ribosomal RNA, 448 nt
Filed under: uncultured bacterium
Lineage: Bacteria
Description: bacterial SSU rRNA
Rfam family: Bacterial small subunit ribosomal RNA
Source: RNAcentral
GCCAGACUCCUACGGGAGGCAGCAGUAGGGAAUCUUUCACAAUGGGCGAAAGCCUGAUGGAGCAACGCCGCGUGCAGGAUGAAGGCCUUCGGGUUGUAAACUGCUUUUAUAAGCGAGAAAUAUGAUGGUAACUUAUGAAUAAGGAUCGGCUAACUACGUGCCAGCAGCCGCGGUCAUACGUAGGAUCCGAGCAUUAUCCGGAGUGACUGGGUGUAAAGAGUUGCGUAGGUGGCAUAGUAAGUAGCUAGUGAAAUCUGGUGGCUCAACCAUUCAGACUAUUAGCUAAACUGCUAAGCUCGAGACCGUUAGGGGUAACUGGGAUUUCUAGUGUAGGAGUGAAAUCCGUAGAUAUUAGAAGGAACACCAGUGGCGAAGGCGACUCUCUGGGCUGCAACUGACGCUGAGGCUCGAAAGCAUGGGUAGCGAACAGGAUUAGAUACCCUGGUAG